This 236-nucleotide long non-coding RNA is filed under the name Physcomitrium patens. Its description in RNAcentral is "long non-coding RNA (PPAT_LNC003176)". Lineage: Eukaryota; Viridiplantae; Streptophyta; Bryopsida; Funariales; Funariaceae. The record is from RNAcentral.
GAUCAGGAUUUUGAGGUUGGAGAGCUAGCUUCAAGUUCCUCCAAAAGGUGUAGAAUUAGAUUUUCAUAGGAUUUGGGAGAACUUUUUCAAUCAUUGCUGAAAGUCAGUGUUUGUAUUGGUGAUUGGGUUUGUUUUGCAAUAAAAUAAUGGCUGGUACUCUUGACUGUUUUGUGAAAUUGGAGAAACUUCUGUGGUUGAAAUUUAAGGGUGUCUAGAGGGUUGAGUAUGUUGAGUGU